UUUAUUUAUUUUAUUUUUUUUUUAAGAAAAACAAAAAGGUCAGGGGUCUGCACUAUAUUUGGCCAUAUAUUGUGUAUUUGGAGUAUGAUCCUGCCGAUGAAUACAUUUUUAACAGAGUAAGAUGUGAAAAAAAUAAUGGAGUCUCGCGGUCUGGGAAUCGAACCCCGUCUUCCGCGCGGGAAACCAGGCAGAGGUACUGUCUACUACACUAACAAGGAACCACCGGCAAAUACAACGCCGACAGUGAAGUUAAUAUGAUGUUCGGUUGAGUUUUAUUUGCACAGCUGAAGCCGUUUAGUCCCAGUGACUAUAUUCACAUCAGUGGGGUCAGAAUUCAAAAAUAAAAUCGUUAAGGAACCAGAACUAUAUUAUAGAGCUACUAAACACUGCCGAAGAAAAGGUGAUAUAAACUACACCCACAUGUCAAAACAAAUCAGCCAGUGGAGUACCCUCCCUAUGACACGUAACACAAUAUAUUAGAAUCACUCUCUUUUCGAACAUAAAUAACAGCCCCACCUCGCGGCGGAGCUUCCAAAAAUUGUUCAUCCAUACAUUAUACCGCUUAUCCUACGUAAUUCAAUGCCGAACUUUACGGAGGGAAGAGCAGAGCCUCACAGGAAAUAUAUUUCCACUCGAUGGUAAGUGAACAAUUAUGACGGUUUAUAGUUACAAACCGUAUAACAUGACAAAAAGUAUCUAUUGC
This is a long non-coding RNA of Ictalurus punctatus (channel catfish), 703 nucleotides long. NCBI's taxonomy places the organism in Eukaryota, Metazoa, Chordata, Actinopteri, Siluriformes, Ictaluridae. The record is from Ensembl.